Molecule: ribosomal RNA, 400 nt
Filed under: uncultured bacterium
Lineage: Bacteria
Description: bacterial SSU rRNA
Rfam family: Bacterial small subunit ribosomal RNA
Source: RNAcentral
UGGGGGAUAUUGGACAAUGGGGGGAACCCUGAUCCAGCGACGCCGCGUGAGGGAAGAAGGUUUUCGGAUUGUAAACCUCUGUUGACGGAGAAAAAGAUGAUGGUAUCCGUUAAGGAAGCCACGGCUAACUACGUGCCAGCAGCCGCGGUAAUACGUAGGUGGCGAGCGUUGUCCGGAAUUACUGGGUGUAAAGGGAGUGUAGGCGGGGCAUUAAGUCAGAAGUGAAAAUUACGGGCUCAACUCGUAACCUGCUUUUGAAACUGAAGCUCUUGAGUGAAGUAGAGGCAAGCGGAAUUCCUAGUGUAGCGGUGAAAUGCGUAGAUAUUAGGAGGAACACCAGUGGCGAAGGCGGCUUGCUGGGCUUUUACUGACGCUGAGGCUCGAAAGCGUGGGGAGCAAA